UAGCUUUUGCCUGAGGCUACCCAGCAGGAGCUACGGAGAGAUCUGCAGAUUCCCCUUCCUUGUUUGGGGUUUGGAGGUGCCCAAAUGAGGCCCAGCUGUGAAGCAAUGCAAGCUGCUGUGGGGCCUUGGGCCUUCUCUUGGAAGUUCUGUGUCUGUCUGGCCCAGCUGCAGUUUGUUAGGUAAUUUUCAGAUUGCAAAGGGCCAGGGCAUUCAUAUGCAAAAGCCUCUGCCACAGCUUGGGUGGGGCGGGGUCUCAGGGAAUCAACAGGGUGGAGCAAGCAGCUAUGGCUGAUCCUCAGCCCUGCCCUAAGGGGCCCCGAAUCUCGGUAAUCGCUGCAAGCACCUUUGAGAGAAAGCCACCCUCAAGUUCCGAGUUCUGCCUGCUGCCAGACGGCCCAGUUUCUCCCUAUAUGAAUCUGGGUCCCCAGAGACUCACCCAGAACUGGAGUUCAGAGCCGUUGGGGGCUUGUGACUCCCUCCUGAUUCAAAAAGACAGCCCUGUCCUCAGUCGCCAGCCCAUGCCGCAUGUGCCUCCAAACCUCUGCACUUUACUCCUGCACCUCCUCUGAGUCUCAGUGUGCUUUUCUCUUUCCUUCUAGUUGUAGAAUUUCCACUCAGCCAGCCUUCCUGUGGUUCUGGAUGAUGUCCAUUUUGGAUUUUCGUUGUGUUUUUGAAGUGGUUGUGGGAGGCAGCAAUUUCCGGUGUUUAUCUAUGCCGCCAUCUUGGUUUCUCUCUCUACUCUGUACUCUUAAACAUCUGAUUGAUGGUGAAUAUCACACUCCUAAAGAUUUUCUGGUAUAUUGUAUAGUAGGUACUUUAGUUAGUUCAUUAGUGUUCUCUAUUCUGUUCCUAUAAAGAAUAAUGUUAUUCUUCCUAUAGGAUUAUUAGCUAAUAGCUGCAGAGCAGCAAUUUUUUAAGGUAUUCUUGAUGCAAGCAAGAUGGAAAAGGGAGUGUUCCAUGAGCAAAUACUUCUUUUAUGGUAAUGUCUUUGAGAUUUAUAAUUUUUGGUGGCAUAUUAAAAGUUCUAAGAAAUUCUGAAGUAAAAAUAUGUGCUUAAUUUACUGUUGGUUUGUUUUUUAACAUUUUAACAUGUUUUUAUUUUAUCAUAUAUAUUUUUAAAAUAUAUUUUAUUGAUUUUUUACGGAGAGGAAGGGAGAGGGGUAGAGAGUUAGAAGCAUCAAUGAGAGAGAAACAUCCAUCAGCUGCCUCCUGCACACCCCCUACUGGGGAUGUGCCCGCAACCAACGUGCAUGCCCUUGACCGGAAUUGAACCUGGGACCUUUCAGUCCGCACGCCAACGCUCUGUCCACUGAGCCAAACCAGUCAGGGCAACAUGUUUUUAUUGAUUUCAGAGAGGAAGGGAGAGGGAAAGACAUAGAAACAUCAAUGUUGAGAGAGAAUUAUUGAUUGGCUGCUCCUUGCACGCCCCUCACUGGGGAUCAAACCCCACAAUCCCAGGCAUGUGCCCUUGACCGGAAUCAAACCCGGGACCCUUCAGUACACAGGCCAACACCCUAUCCACCAAGCCAAACCAGCCAGGGCCACCGUUUUCAUUUUCUUUUCUUUUUUU
Molecule: long non-coding RNA, 1570 nt
Organism: Myotis daubentonii (Daubenton's bat)
Lineage: Eukaryota; Metazoa; Chordata; Mammalia; Chiroptera; Vespertilionidae
Exons: 2
Source: RefSeq, a predicted model, not a curated record